UUAGUGGCGGACGGGUGAGUAACGCGUGGAUAACCUGCCGUAUACAGGGGGAUAACACUUAGAAAUAGGUGCUAAUACCGCAUAAGCGCACGGUUCCGCAUGGAACAGUGUGAAAAACUCCGGUGGUAUACGAUGGAUCCGCGUCUGAUUAGCCAGUUGGCGGGGUAACGGCCCACCAAAGCGACGAUCAGUAGCCGGCCUGAGAGGGUGGACGGCCACAUUGGGACUGAGACACGGCCCAAACUCCUACGGGAGGCAGCAG
RNAcentral lists this ribosomal RNA (262 nucleotides) under uncultured bacterium. RNAcentral describes it as "partial 16S ribosomal RNA". It matches the Rfam family "Bacterial small subunit ribosomal RNA", at positions 92 to 354 of the family's 1533-position model. The record is from RNAcentral.